RNAcentral lists this unclassified non-coding RNA (200 nucleotides) under Hevea brasiliensis (rubber tree). The record is from RNAcentral. Lineage: Eukaryota; Viridiplantae; Streptophyta; Magnoliopsida; Malpighiales; Euphorbiaceae.
CGCCCCCAUCAAUCUACUCUUAGCCACCAACCCAUCCUUCCUCUGCUGGGAUUCGAUUCUCUGCCUCUCCUCUUCACGCCGAGUAGAGGCCACCAGCACACUAUAAAAAUCUCUGUUCUUGCACUCCAACAACGACUCCCUAUCCUUGAGAGGCCUCUCCAUGGAGUAUAUCAUAGUAAUGGGAUCCUCCUCUUUACCAU